AUGAAGGAAGUCAUGAGGCACCAUUUUGUUCCAUCAUACUACGAGAGGCAAUUGUACAAGCGGCUGCAGGGGCUCACUCAAGGUUCCUGCACUGUUGAGGAGUACUAUAAAGAGAUGGAGGUGCUGCUAAUUCGCACAAGAACCCGUGAAAGUGAUGAGGCGAAGAUGGCAAGAUUUUUACUUGGGCUGAAUGAUGAAAUAUCAGAUUUUGUGGAGAUGUUUCCUUAUGAUACAUUACAAGAAGUGCGAGCACAACAGCCAUAUGGUUCUCAGUUUGAGGGUGCACCACCUAGACACCCACAUGCCUCGAUGGCUUCCUCACCUUCUAUUCACAAUGAAGAUAAGAGGUCAUCAGCUACAGCAGGAGUAUCCUCUGCUCCACCUCCAGAAAAGAGUUCUACACGCAGCAGCGGCAUUCAAUGCCACCAGUGCAAAGGAAGAGGUCAUAUUUCUUUGGAAUGUCCAAGCAAAAAACUUUCAUCAUCAAUGAACGAGGUGAAUGGGAAUCUGAAAGUGACCCUGAAGGUGGAAAUGAUGGAGUGGAAGAGGAGCAAGGUUGGGAAGUAG
This 567-nucleotide ribosomal RNA is filed under the name Triticum aestivum (bread wheat). Its description in RNAcentral is "partial small subunit ribosomal RNA". Lineage: Eukaryota; Viridiplantae; Streptophyta; Magnoliopsida; Poales; Poaceae. The record is from RNAcentral.